CUUGGAUUAAGAAAAAGCCUUAUUUAUUCUACAAGUACUUUGUUACAUCCAUUCAAUUCCACAACUUGUGACAACAUACACAAAACUAUACUUUUAAUUUUAUUAUACCAUAACCAAGACUUUAUAGCUUGCUAGUGAUAUUAAUGUUCCUAACUUUAGAUGUUUUUGGAGUUGCAUCUUUUGGUACAACAAUGGUAAGAACACCAUUUUCACAUUGAGCUUUAAUUUGAUCCACCUUCACAUCUUCCGGCAGCUCGAUCUCCCUCGAGAAAUCGCCACCUCUCCCUCCUCCUCGCUCCGCCACAUGCCACACUAUAUCCUUCUCUUUACCGUGGAAUUCGUCCUUCUUGCCGCCGUGCCCCUCCGCCUUCACCACCAACACAUUUCCAUCUUCAACUUGCACCUUUAUAUCCUCCUUGCUAUAUCCUGGGACAUUGAUUUUGAAGAUGUGAGAAUUAGGAGAUUCAAUCCAAUCGAGAAGAGCUGGAGAACCAGAAAAGCUUCGAUGAAUCGUCGGACUCAAUAAGAAUCUUCUAAAAGGAUCACCAAAAAUCGCCAUUUUUAUUUUGUAUCUGUUUAUUUUAGGAGGAGAAUGCUAUAUAAAGAAAUGGAGGUUUAAUGGAGUUUUUUUCUGGAAGAUCUAGAAG
This 647-nucleotide unclassified non-coding RNA is filed under the name Hevea brasiliensis (rubber tree). The record is from RNAcentral. Lineage: Eukaryota; Viridiplantae; Streptophyta; Magnoliopsida; Malpighiales; Euphorbiaceae.